GAUGAACGCUAGCGGCAGGCCUAACACAUGCAAGUCGAGGGAGAAGCCCUUUCGGGGGCAGAAACCGGCGCACGAGUGCGUAACGCGUAUGCAACCUACCUUUCACAGGGGGAUAGCCCGAAGAAAUUUGGAUUAAUACCCCAUAAUAUUAUUGGAUGGCAUCAUUUGAUAAUUAAAACUGCGGUGGUGAAAGAUGGGCAUGCGUCCUAUUAGCUAGUUGGAGUGGUAACGGCACCCCAAGGCUACGAUAGGUAGGGGUCCUGAGAGGGAGAUCCCCCACACUGGUACUGAGACAGGGACCAGACUCCUACGGGAGGCAGCAGUGAGGAAUAUUGGUCAAUGGUCGGAAGACUGAACCAGCCAUGCCGCGUGCAGGAAGAAUGCCUUAUGGGUUGUAAACUGCUUUUAUAUGGGAAGAAUAAGGCGUACGUGUACGUUGAUGACGGUACCAUAUGAAUAAGCAUCGGCUAACUCCGUG
Molecule: ribosomal RNA, 478 nt
Filed under: uncultured bacterium
Lineage: Bacteria
Description: partial 16S ribosomal RNA
Rfam family: Bacterial small subunit ribosomal RNA
Source: RNAcentral